RNAcentral lists this ribosomal RNA (164 nucleotides) under Orbilia oligospora. Its description in RNAcentral is "partial small subunit ribosomal RNA". It matches the Rfam family "Eukaryotic small subunit ribosomal RNA", at positions 1639 to 1799 of the family's 1831-position model. The record is from RNAcentral. Lineage: Eukaryota; Fungi; Ascomycota; Orbiliomycetes; Orbiliales; Orbiliaceae.
CGUUGAUUACGUCCCUGCCCUUUGUACACACCGCCCGUCGCUACUACCGAUUGAAUGGCUCAGUGAGGCCUUCGGACUGGCUCCAGGAGGUUGGCGACAACCACCCAGAGCCGGAAAGUUGGUCAAACUCGGUCAUUUAGAGGAAGUAAAAGGUCGUAACAAGG